AGAAAGGGGACGUUUCUGGUUUUGUCUCUGUCGGGGCUCUUCUGGGUAAUUCAGACAAGAAAACGACGAGGCGUUUGAUUCUUGCGUGAACGGCGUGUAGAGAUCUCGAGUCUCUCCGAAGACGACGGUGUUACUUCUUGGUUCGAAGGUGAAAACAGGGCUCGUGUGGGAUGAAACGUUGCUGGAGAAGACGGUGGCUGUGGUGGUUGCUGAUGAGCUGAACAUGGAUAGCGAAUCCUCCUCUGGUACGAUGUUUUUCAUCAGCGGCUCCUCCAAUGGUCCCACUCUCUCUAGCUUCUCCUCCUCCUUCUCCAUUCUCCUCUUUCUUCUCUCUCGAUCGCUUGCCGAUGUAACGGAUUCGAGAAAUAAUAGAGGCAAAAGCUGUUUAUAUACCCACUCGAGCCUAGUGGUUCGUUAUGCCCCGAGCCUUGUGUUCUAAAGCUCUCUCAACAACUUUUUGUUGUACUUAUGAAUGUGGGCCUGAUAGUCAGUCGGCCCAAGGCUCAACCCAUACUAAAAACAACGCGUUGAAGGUAAAAGCAGCAGCACCAUGGCAAUUGCUUUGCCCAUACCAUACCCCGAACUAUGGCAUGUGCCAUGUUUAGCAUUUAAUGAAAGUAAAAACUUUUUCUUCGAAACUUGUUAACCAUAUAAAUAAUCACUGUUAAAUAGAGUGAUAGUGUCAGGCAGACAGGGUCUAUUAAUGGUAAUUCAAUUGUACUAACUGAAAAAGUACUUAUUUUCUAAAGUUUAUCAGUUUCGAAUCUUUGUUUACAUUAUAAAUUAAAUAUUUUAUAUUUUUCAAAAAAUCGACUUUUAGGAUUUCGUUUGAUUUAACAUUUUUUUUGCUGCGAAAAUAUAAUUAUUGUGAAAAGAACUUAUACUGCAUACGAAUAUUGGGCAUAAAGAAUAUACAAUUAAAAUUUUCUAAAAUUAUUUAGAAACAAAAAGAGAAUAAAAGCAACAAAGAACAAUUUUUCUAUUUUUACAUAUAAUCCGAGAAUAAUUCCAUAAUCCUAUAUCCUUCCUAAAAGAAGUAUUCUUUCUGUCUACACCUCACUCUACUCCCCGGCGAAUCAUAUUCCACCGCUAGCUGUGGCAGCGCUGUUCACAACCCAAGAAAGAUCGAAACUCGCCGGAGCAGAGUUCCCGGAAAAGCUAUCUCCCACGGCGAAUUCCUCCAACCCCUCGAAGAAGUCCUCGCUCACCACCGUAUCCGACAAAGACAGCAGAUCCUCGUCUCCGACCUCUAUGUCCUCCACCGGCAAGACAAAAUCAUCUGCCGACGAUGUGACCGGAGACGUCGAGUAGGGAGCGAUCGUGGUCGUGGGAGACUUAGUCGUCGGCUGAUCAGAGGAGGUUUUCUGACGGGUGCUUCCGGCGAGAGAGUUACGGUGAGUAGGAGCUGGGUGAUUGUGCUCCGCCGUGUAAGUGACGAUGAACAUCGUCGGGUCGGAUCUGUUUCGCUCCACUUGUUUACGGGCUAAACAUCCUUUCGAUGUACUGCAUCUGUAAUAUCCUCUGUUUUUAACAAAAGAAAGUAAAAAUUUAGAAACACAGAAUCACAAAGACAUACACAGACAAGUGUUUUGUCUUGAAAUAAUAACACAAUUAAAGAACAUUAAAUGUUUUUUACUGUAAAGGUUUAAUCUUUUUUUUUCCCAUUGUAACAGUACCUUGGAUAGGGUGAGCCUUUGAUGGGUUUUUGUCCGUACUUUCGCCACGCCCAGACAUCGUUGUUUAAAGCUUCUGCUGCUACAUGGCACACUUUCUUAUGCUGUAUCUUUCUGCAACAAACACACAAGAGACUUUUUUAGUUUGGUUCGACAAAAGGUUUGAGCUUUUGUUGAACUGGUGAAAAGAGACAGAGAUCGAACCUUCUUUUAGAUCUAGAGGUGUUGGAGGCUCCUGUGGGUUUGCUAGUGACGCUGCCGGAAGAAGCAGAGAGAGAAAGGGGACGUUUCUGGUUUUGUCUCUGUCGGGGCUCUUCUGGGUAAUUCAGACAAGAAAACGACGAGGCGUUUGAUUCUUGCGUGAACGGCGUGUAGAGAUCUCGAGUCUCUCCGAAGACGACGGUGUUACUUCUUGGUUCGAAGGUGAAUACAGGGCUCGUGUGAGAUGAAACGUUGCUGGAGAAGACGGUGGCUGUGGUGGUUGCUGAUGAGCUGAAGGCUGAGCAGCCUCUGACUACGGCGUGGAGAUCCCAAUCGUCGGCCAUUUGACUUGGUUUCUCAGAGGAGAC
This 2242-nucleotide long non-coding RNA is filed under the name Brassica napus (rape). Its description in RNAcentral is "long non-coding RNA (BNAP_LNC007257)". Lineage: Eukaryota; Viridiplantae; Streptophyta; Magnoliopsida; Brassicales; Brassicaceae. The record is from RNAcentral.